Molecule: ribosomal RNA, 798 nt
Filed under: uncultured bacterium
Lineage: Bacteria
Description: bacterial SSU rRNA
Rfam family: Bacterial small subunit ribosomal RNA
Source: RNAcentral
UGGCGAAAGGCGGCCCCCCUGGACAAAAGAUGACGCUCAGGCACGAAAGCGUGGGGGAGCAAACAGGAUUAGAUACCCCUGGUAGUCCACGCCGUAAACGAUGUCUACUCGGAGUUUUGGUGUCUUGAACACUGGGCUCUCAAGCUAACGCAUUAAAGUAGACCGCCCUGGGGAGUACGGCCCGCAAGGUUAAAACUCAAAUGAAUUGACGGGGGCCCGCACAAGCGGUGGAGCAUGUGGUUUAAUUCGAUGCAACGCGAAGAACCUUACCUACUCUUGACAUCCAGAGAACUUUCCAGAGAUGGAUUGGUGCCUUCGGGAACUCUGAGACAGGUGCUGCAUGGCUGUCGUCAGCUCGUGUUGUGAAAUGUUGGGUUAAGUCCCGCAACGAGCGCAACCCUUAUCCUUACUUGCCAGCGGGUAAUGCCGGGAACUUUAGGGAGACUGCCGGUGAUAAACCGGAGGAAGGUGGGGACGACGUCAAGUCAUCAUGGCCCUUACGAGUAGGGCUACACACGUGCUACAAUGGUCGGUACAGAGGGUUGCGAAGCCGCGAGGUGGAGCUAAUCUCAUAAAGCCGGUCGUAGUCCGGAUUGGAGUCUGCAACUCGACUCCAUGAAGUCGGAAUCGCUAGUAAUCGUGGAUCAGAAUGCCACGGUGAAUACGUUCCCGGGCCUUGUACACACCGCCCGUCACACCAUGGGAGUGGGCUGCACCAGAAGUAGAUAGCUUAACCUUCGGGAGGGCGUUUACCACGGUGUGGUUCAUGACUGGGGUGAAGUCGUAACAAGGUAACCG